RNAcentral lists this unclassified non-coding RNA (142 nucleotides) under uncultured Hyaloscyphaceae. RNAcentral describes it as "sequence contains ITS2". The record is from RNAcentral. Lineage: Eukaryota; Fungi; Ascomycota; Leotiomycetes; Helotiales.
UGACCACUCAAGCCUGGCUUGGUGUUGGGGUCCGCGGUCCUGCGGCCCUUAAAAUCAGUGGCGGCGCCAUCUGGCUCUAAGCGUAGUAAUACUCCUCGCUAUAGAGUCCUGGUGGAUGCUUGCCAGCAACCCUCAAUCUCAC